AGUCACGAAGUUAACCCGAAUUACAUGCACGCAUACACGCAAGCAUACACCAGGGCAAUGGCAUUGUGGCUUGAGCCUCGUUGCGAAGCACUAGCCACAAAAACUAGAAAAUUUACAGAGAAUUAACGAGUAGACUGGUAACACCACUUGCGUUACAAAGAAAGUCGCCAAAACAGCGUUGAAACGACCGUUGGCAAUAAAGCGGCUACGGUAAUAAGGUCGCCCUUUGUAAAGACCAAAAUGCCCUUCAUGUGAGGUC
Stylophora pistillata is the source of this 259-nucleotide long non-coding RNA. NCBI's taxonomy places the organism in Eukaryota, Metazoa, Cnidaria, Anthozoa, Scleractinia, Pocilloporidae. The record is from RefSeq and is a predicted model, not a curated record.